RNAcentral lists this transfer RNA (77 nucleotides) under Acidobacteriota bacterium. RNAcentral's name for it is "Acidobacteria bacterium tRNA-Arg". It matches the Rfam family "tRNA". From Rfam's summary of the family: Transfer RNA (tRNA) molecules are approximately 80 nucleotides in length. The record is from RNAcentral. Lineage: Bacteria; Pseudomonadati; Acidobacteriota. RNAcentral also lists the same sequence under 3 other names.
GCGCCCGUAGCUCAGUUGGAUAGAGCGUCUGCCUUCUAAGCAGAGGGUCGGGGGUUCGAAUCCCUCCGGGCGCGCCA